Molecule: ribosomal RNA, 1289 nt
Filed under: Vibrio sp.
Lineage: Bacteria; Pseudomonadati; Pseudomonadota; Gammaproteobacteria; Vibrionales; Vibrionaceae
Description: bacterial SSU rRNA
Rfam family: Bacterial small subunit ribosomal RNA
Source: RNAcentral
CUGGCUCAGAUUGAACGCUGGCGGCAGGCCUAACACAUGCAAGUCGAGCGGAAACGAGUUAUCUGAACCUUCGGGGGACGAUAGCGGCGUCGAGCGGCGGACGGGUGAGUAAUGCCUAGGAAAUUGCCCUGAUGUGGGGGAUAACCAUUGGAAACGAUGGCUAAUACCGCAUGAUGCCUACGGGCCAAAGAGGGGGACCUUAGGGCCUCUCGCGUCAGGAUAUGCCUAGGUGGGAUUAGCUAGUUGGUGAGGUAAGGGCUCACCAAGGCGACGAUCCCUAGCUGGUCUGAGAGGAUGAUCAGCCACACUGGAACUGAGACACGGUCCAGACUCCUACGGGAGGCAGCAGUGGGGAAUAUUGCACAAUGGGCGCAAGCCUGAUGCAGCCAUGCCGCGUGUGUGAAGAAGGCCUUCGGGUUGUAAAGCACUUUCAGUCGUGAGGAAGGUAGUGUAGUUAAUAGCUGCAUUAUUUGACGUUAGCGACAGAAGAAGCACCGGCUAACUCCGUGCCAGCAGCCGCGGUAAUACGGAGGGUGCGAGCGUUAAUCGGAAUUACUGGGCGUAAAGCGCAUGCAGGUGGUUUGUUAAGUCAGAUGUGAAAGCCCGGGGCUCAACCUCGGAAUUGCAUUUGAAACUGGCAGACUAGAGUACUGUAGAGGGGGGUAGAAUUUCAGGUGUAGCGGUGAAAUGCGUAGAGAUCUGAAGGAAUACCGGUGGCGAAGGCGGCCCCCUGGACAGAUACUGACACUCAGAUGCGAAAGCGUGGGGAGCAAACAGGAUUAGAUACCCUGGUAGUCCACGCCGUAAACGAUGUCUACUUGGAGGUUGUGGCCUUGAGCCGUGGCUUUCGGAGCUAACGCGUUAAGUAGACCGCCUGGGGAGUACGGUCGCAAGAUUAAAACUCAAAUGAAUUGACGGGGGCCCGCACAAGCGGUGGAGCAUGUGGUUUAAUUCGAUGCAACGCGAAGAACCUUACCUACUCUUGACAUCCAGAGAACUUUCCAGAGAUGGAUUGGUGCCUUCGGGAACUCUGAGACAGGUGCUGCAUGGCUGUCGUCAGCUCGUGUUGUGAAAUGUUGGGUUAAGUCCCGCAACGAGCGCAACCCUUAUCCUUGUUUGCCAGCGAGUAAUGUCGGGAACUCCAGGGAGACUGCCGGUGAUAAACCGGAGGAAGGUGGGGACGACGUCAAGUCAUCAUGGCCCUUACGAGUAGGGCUACACACGUGCUACAAUGGCGCAUACAGAGGGCGGCCAACUUGCGAAAGUGAGCGAAUCCCAAAAAGUGCGUC